GUCCCGGUAGUUCAAUGGAUAGAACAGAGGUUUCCUAAACCUCCGAUCCAGGUUCAAUUCCCGGUCGGGACACCC
RNAcentral lists this transfer RNA (75 nucleotides) under bacterium. RNAcentral's name for it is "tRNA-Arg". It matches the Rfam family "tRNA". From Rfam's summary of the family: Transfer RNA (tRNA) molecules are approximately 80 nucleotides in length. Their secondary structure includes four short double-helical elements and three loops (D, anti-codon, and T loops). Further hydrogen bonds mediate the characteristic L-shaped molecular structure. tRNAs have two regions of fundamental functional importance: the anti-codon, which is responsible for specific mRNA codon recognition, and the 3' end, to which the tRNAs corresponding amino acid is attached (by aminoacyl-tRNA synthetases). tRNAs cope with the degeneracy of the genetic code in two manners: having more than one tRNA (with a specific anti-codon) for a particular amino acid; and 'wobble' base-pairing, i.e. permitting non-standard base-pairing at the 3rd anti-codon position. The record is from RNAcentral. RNAcentral also lists the same sequence under 1 other name.